Stegodyphus mimosarum is the source of this 73-nucleotide non-coding RNA. The record is from Rfam. Lineage: Eukaryota; Metazoa; Arthropoda; Arachnida; Araneae; Eresidae.
GCCUUCGUGGUGUAAUGGUCAGCACACUCGGCGUGUAUUCGGGAGGUUCAAGGUUCGAGUCCUGGCGAGGGCA